UGAUAACCGGUGCCUCACAGUUCAGGCAUGAGAAGACGUUUCAACUGGAGAGUUAAGUGGCACUUAAAGGUCUGGCUUAUCUUUGAGAAAACUUUUCACUCGUUCAAAUUAAGGGCUAGGAAUUUGAAGGUUUGGAGAAUUGACAUCUUGGGGCUGAGAGUACAUGUACAAGCCAUGGACCUCCUGAGCAUAUUGAAUAAAUGGAGGACUAAUUCAACUGCAGCAGUGAGGGGAGGCUGGUUUCACUGGCGUCUAUCUGUGAAACUCACCUAGCUGUCAAAACCAGGAUGCUGCUGUUGGAUUCAGGACCUGGAUAUCCUGAAUUUGGGCUGCUCUACUAUUGGUUGCAUCAACGCAAUUCUGCC
Molecule: long non-coding RNA, 365 nt
Filed under: Gallus gallus (chicken)
Lineage: Eukaryota; Metazoa; Chordata; Aves; Galliformes; Phasianidae
Description: lncRNA (ENSGALG00010019351.1)
Source: RNAcentral